AAGCUUAAGUGCUCCAUAUUCAGACACAUACAAAGGCCUCCCAUAGAUUUUCUGGUAUUCUGAAGAAAGACAGAUUAGAGGCAUACACCCACCUGAUAAUUCAAGCAACUUUACCAGUUGGCCCUUUAAACCAUUCAGAUCUCCAGGUUGUACCCACAUGAAGUCAUUCUGGUCACAUGAAGUAAGAGUUUUUGCUGAAACUUCAUUCAACCCAGAUGGGAGGCCGUGUGAUCUGGAAGACGAAGGAUAAUAGGGCAUGGAUAUUGAACUACUAUUAUAUUCAGUCGGAGACCUUGAGAGCAAUGAGAGAUCCCUUUUAUUGCAACAGCCUUUUGAGAUCCCUCUAUACACUAUUGCUUCUUCUUCAUUUUGACAAUCUAAGUUGUCAGUUACCUCGCAUCCCGUUAAAAACCCAGGAAUAUUUGUCGGAACUACAUAAGAAGGAAGUAAAACCUUAGCAGACGGCACAAAUCCUUCCCCACGAGCCACACUUGGCCAGUCCCAGACAAACUGGCCUGCAUUACUCAGAGCAGAUGAAACACUCGCCCUAUAAGGAAUGACAAGGAUGAUAGUAUAUCCACGCUGGCCUAAAACAUGGAGAGCAGGAGCAAAAUCAACAUCCCCAGAGAUGAGCAAGAUAGAUGAGGGUGGACAAUUGUCAAGAGCAAAAAGGAACAUGUCAAUCAAAAUUGCCUUGUCAGCUGCAUCUUUCCUUCCAUUAGGAACGUCUAUGAGUUUGACGCCUGUUCUCUGACACCCUUCCCGUAGUCGUCUGGGAAAUGCAUUGAAAUCCCCAUAUGCAGAGAAUGUUGUGACAACUCCAUCAAUUACAGGAUGGACACGCAAAGCCAUCCUAAUAUUACCAGCUACAUCUUGUGGGCGGACAUCACUUGGCACUGGACAGUUCUCAAUGUCCCAGAAUAUAGCCACAGGGCCUUGUGAUGAGCUUUGCACUUGAUGUAAAUAAGGUUGAGGCAAGUCAGUAUUUGCAUUUGCCAUGUGUUUCUCUUUUGAGGAUUCUGGUGGCAACAUCAAAGUAGAUAUAUUUGAACUUGACAUCAAUGUUCUAUAGCAGUUCAAGCAACGUCUUUAGGCUUCCUGACAUCAAAGAAUGGUUGUGAAAAUCCCGCCGAGAGAAAACUUUCAAGUACUUGCACUCGAAACUUGAACUAAUGCCCUAUUUGGGCUUUAUUUUUCUAAAAAUACAUAUUUUUCAAAAUUCAUUUCCAACCAAACAUUCUCCCAUAAAAUAAUUUUACACUAAAAUCCAAAAUUUUUCCUUAUUUUUUUACCAUACAUUCUCCAACAAAUACACUUGAAAACACAUUUUUCUCAAAAAAACUCAUUUUAAUGGAACCCAAACAGGGGCAACAAUUGAUGGCAAAACAACUUUCAUCCAAGGAGAACAGGAGACUGGAACUGAGCCCAGAGUAUUUAAACAAGAAAAAUUAAUAACAAGUAUAGAGCUAAAUUUAUACUAUAUAAAUGAAGAAUUUAAAAGAAAUUAAUCAAUGUGUUGGUGACAUGUCGUGUCGGUACUUUUUGAAAAAUCGUGUGCCGGACACACGUGUCCGUGUCAGUGUACUAUAUCAUAGGGUAAUGCAUCAGCAUGAGUGAAGAAUAAAUGUUAGUAGUUUCCACUAGAAGUCUUCUCUGAAAAAAAAUGGCUUCAGUUAGUGUUAUAGUUUACAUUACGAAUCAGUUUACACACACACUUCCAUAUCCUGCUCCUAGAUAUUAUUAUUGCAGAAGGUAAGAUUAAAUGAUAAAAUAGUAGUUCAACAAGAUAUCAAGCAACAGUCAUGAAUUCAAGUUUCACAGGAACACAUUUAAUGAAAUAUUGUAUGUCUCGGGCUUUAAUGCAAAAAAAUAUAAAAUAAAAAAUUUUAAACCCAGCUGCUCGUGAGAGGCAUGUGGACAUUUGCCCUCUCUAAAACCUUUAAUUUCAAGUAACUCAAUAUUUUCCACGCCAGAAGGUCAGUAACGCUAAUUUAAUAAAAUAUCGCCAUUAAGUUCUUUCUGCUCAAGAAAGCAAAAAAAGUAGCAGAUAACUUAAAACAAUUAUUUUUCUUAUAUUUAUUGGCAUCGGGUGAUGUUACAUGAUGGUAAAAUAUCAUUACAGAACAACAUCAUCUUGAAUAAGAUACAUCAUUACCAAGAAAAUCAUAACAGAAAACUGAGGAAAAGAAUGAAUAUUCAAGAAAGCUAUAUAAAGUUAACCCAGACCGUGGCCGUAGACCUAAAAAUGAUUACUCGCUGUAAUAAAAUGACUAAUAAAAAAAUUCAAUAAAUUCAUUCUUUUAGAGAUUCGUAAUUCUUGCAUGAAUACUUCGAACUAGGGUUUCUGAAUAUGUACCUAAGUAUAUAGGUAACAGAGGGAGGAGGGUGACUUGCCUGAAACGGAAAGAACUAUGUUCGAGUUGUGAAGAUCGGUGACGAUGAUUCUUUCGCAAAAAGGGAAAAGGGAAUAAAUUUUUAACGGGUAGUCGGCGAUUUUGGUCUUAUUCAAUAUCAGAUAAAAAACAGUAUGAAAAUUAAUUUGGGAUUUUUGUAUUUGGGCGGCGAUGACCAAAACGGAGCGGCGGAGAGUUUAAUUGGAAUUAAGAAUUGGACCGAAGAAUCAAAAAAUACUCCCGUGCGAACUGAACCGAUUUGAAGAAUGAUGCAACAAUUGUUUAUUUUCUUCUCCUGGAGAGGUUUGGUCUCUGUUAAGGUAAAAUCACAACAAUUGUGCUUGUUUUGUUGUUUGGGAUUGGAAUUAAGAUAAAAUGCCUUCUAUUUUAAAAGUAAUUCUUAAAAUUAUAUUUUAGAAGACUUGCUUAAUUAACAUUUUAAUUUGAAUAAUGUUAUUUGUAGUUGUUCACUGUCAUAGUCGUCUUAUAUGGUAUAUAUGUAGCGUUUAAUGAUUUGAUACAUUAAUGUGGUAGUCUUUUAUUACCUUAUACAAUAAAUCAUUAAUCGUCACAUAUAUGCAACGUAGAGCGAUUACGGUAGUGAGCGACUGUAAAUACUAACAUUCUUUUAAUUUAGAUGUAUUUUCUAUAAUUAUAUACAUUCAAAGUGUUUUAAAUUUCUAUGCAAGAAAAUAAUAAAAUGAUUUAGAAAAAACUAGUUAACAUAAAUUAUAGAGAAAAAUAAUAAAUAUUUUUUGGGAUUAGUAAAAUUAAGUGUUAAAUAUAAAGAGCUUGUUAAAGUAUUUAAAAUUCCAAUUUGUUCAAUGCAACAUGAAGAUCCGAUGAAUCCUUUUGGUAUACUUCUCCCUUGGCUCAUAAAAGGUAAAACCGUACUCUACUAGGAUUGCAUAGUUCUUAUGAUGAAAACUUCUUUAGGUCAACGCAAAAUAAUGUUCUAACCACCUAAAUUCUUCUUCCCUUUAUUUUUUUUCUUGAAAUAGCGUCGUUCUAUUCUCGUAUGGCUGCAUAUCCACCUUAAACAUCGUGAUUUCUGUUACAUUUAUCAUGUGACCCAACACUCAGUGUCAUAGAAUACAAUACCGUUGUGCUGAACUUGUCCUUUUAACUUGAUUGGUAGAAUGGUAAAAAGAUAGAUCUUUUUGGUCCAUUUCUCACAGGCAAUUUGCAUACCAUUGAUUUAGUUUAAUUAAUUUUAAGUUACAGAAUCAAAUAUGAUCAAUGAACUGAAAUGUCCCUGUUUUGACACGAACUGUGGAAAUGAGUCCCUGUUUUGACACGAACUGUGGAAAUGAGUCCCUGUUUUGACACGAACUGUGGAAAUGAGUCCCUGUUUUGACACGAACUGUGGAAAUGAGUCCCUGUUUUGACACGAACUGUGGAAAUGAGUCCCUGUUUUGACACGAACUGUGGAAAUGAGUCCCUGUUUUGACACGAACUGUGGAAAAGGACUCAUUGUAUAAUAACGCUCUUCUAGGUUGCUGAUUUUGGCCUUGCUCGUGCUUCGAAAGAUGGCUCUGUUUGCUUCGAACCUGUAAACACUGAUAUUCGGGGAACUCAUGGUUAGACAAAAUCCUCUCUUAUUAUAAACUCCUACUCUAUAUAGCUUAUCCGGAGAUACCAAAACAUUAAUGGUUUGUUUGGUAAAAUGGAUUGUCUAGUACCCGACGACAUUACAUGUUUGACUAAGCGUAAAACGUUCAAUUAUAAGUAAAUAAGUUAGUUUUAAAAAUAAAUAAGUUUUUGUUGAUCGAAGUUGAAAUAAUAAGUUACUUAUUUUGAUUCUAAAAUAGCUUAGCUAGACAUGUCAGAAAAAGAUGUUUUUGUGUAUUGUAAUAUCAAGUUGUCCAAUAUUGCAUACCAAAUGUGCUCCCAAACGGUUAUCAGGUCGGACAAAAUCUUCUUUCUCAAUAGACUUACCAUAUCAGAGAUAUCAAAGCAUUAAAUGAUUGUCAGGUUAUAAUGAUCCGGAGUAUGUGGUUACUCGAAAGCUCACAAAGAAAAGUGAGGUAUACAGUUAUGGAAUUGUGUUGUUAGAGCUAGUUACUGAAAGACGAGCAAUACAAAACAACAAAAACUUGGUUGAGUGGUCUCAACCAUUUUUGACUUUGGAGUCGAGAAUAACUGAGCUUGUGGAUCCCAAUCUCGGGGAUGCUUUUGAAUUCGAUCAACUUCAAACAAUUGUGGAAAUCGUGACUCAGAAAGAAGGCAAGGCAAGACCAUCAAUUAAGAAAGUCCUCAGAUUUUUGUAUGAGAGUCCUGAAGUAAUGCACGGUGCUUUUGUUGAAGCUGUGGAAGAUGAAGAAUAUGGAGAAACUGGAGGUAGAGGAAGUACGAGCAGAGGUGAUUAUCUUCUGUGUAGUGGGAGACUAAUUCAGCAACAGGCAAGGGAACAAUAAUCUUCUGUGUAGCAGAUGAUUGCUAAGGACUAAUACAAAUUGAAGAAUUGCAAAUGUGAUAAUGUAUUAUAUUUUACCUUUUCAAGUGAAACGCCUUCGAUGUUUGGAAUAAAACAUGAGAUUAAUCUUCAACAGAUGAGAAAGCCAAAUAACCUGAAGAGAGGAAUUCAGUGGUAACUAGAAAAGGCAAAUGUGUCUGCCAUUGAUUUGAGGAAUCAAAAUUUUCUGUUUUACACAUCAAAUGUUCUUUGGCACUUAGAAUUGAGUUGUUAAAUGAUUGCACGACCAUUUUUUACUUUCCUUUUUUUCCUUUUCUUUAAAGAAUCUGUUAAUGUCAAAUUCAAUGGUGAUUGUAAAAUUAUAAGGAGACAGCAAUGUGUCUGGCAGUAGAGCAGAACUGAUAUGUUCAUAUACUUAAAAGUCGUAUAUUUCGAGUAAGCUGAGAGAUUGUUUAUUAAUUUUGCAUUCUUAAAGCAUCUGUAUUAACAUAAACAUGAUGCGUCCUGCCAAAUUAUAGCUCAACUAGGACCAAAUUUAAUGAUAUGUAUCACAGCGUUUCCAAUGGUUAUCAAUCGAAGAAUAUAAAAUCUCAAGCUUUUCUCGGCUGUUUGUUCAUGGAUAACACCAUAGCUUAUUUGGUAAGUGAAUAGUACUGAACGCUAUAAAAGAAGAAGAAAAAAGUUAUAAUCUAGGUUAUGCCUUUGCGCAAAGUAUAUGAAAUGAAGGAUGAGCUCACGACAUAUUCACUGCUCUAGAAGUCAUUGUCCACAUCGGCAGUGAUCGACCAACCUCCCUCUGCAAUGACAUGUGAAAACGUGUAUCGUAGUUUUGCGGCUGAGGAGAAAGGGAUUUCUUUUCUUCGACUGGAAAUGAAAGCGCCCUCUUAUUCAUAACCACCUUGUUUGCUCCUUGGAUCACCAUUGUAGGAGUUGGAUAUUAUAGAAAAUUUGCUAGUCAAACAGUGCAUGGUGAUAGAAGAAUCUGAGUGUAGGAUAAUCUGUUCAUCCACAGUAGAUACAGGUCGAACGUGCUCUAGGCCUCAAACCAGAAGCAAACUCUGAUGCUCAAUACACUAAUACCUGAAUUGCAUCAAUACAUUCCAUGGAUUAUAAAACAUUAAUGUGCUGGUGGUUCUCAAAAAAUGUAUGGCUACCUUCACCUUUCUCCAGUUUCAAAACUGUGCUGUGUCACGUAUAUCCCAAGGAUUCCAAACACAGAAAUUGCAGAAAGUAAAUGGAAUUGGGAAAUGAUCAUAGAUGAAGAAUCAAGUUCUUAUGGCUACUGGGGAUGCUUUCGGCCAAAGCCCAGGUUUGAAUACCUUAUAAAGUACGCAGCACCUGGACAGCAGUGACUUGCACAUUUGCAAGGUAGCACGGCAAAUAUCAACCAGUAGCAACUCCCCUAUGCAAAUCCUUGGCAACCAUGAAAAAGAAUUUCAAUAAACUACCACCUCAAGGAGGAUAAACUAAAUAAGAUGGAAAAAUUAGUUAGUUACUAUGGUAAUUAACAAUUUUCUUGAAAGUGACUUCAGUUUGUUCCUCAACGAGCAUUCCCUCAUCACCGUCCAUAAAUAAAUAAAUAAAUAAAUAAUAACAACAAUGAUGAUGAUGAUCCCUUCCAUAAUUGACGUGCAAUGUUUUUAUGUCCAACACAAGAAUCACAUGGUUAUGGAAGAAGCAUUAUUGGAGCCCCGUUUAUGGGGAGAUCAAACAAACAGUAGUGAAAAGAUUUCUUCACAUCGUGCAGAAUUACAGGUUAGAAGCAGAUUUCAGAACAAUAAUACAGUAAAGGACUAAUAAGCACUAGAACAAAGCUGCGUAAGAUUUAUAAGAUUGCUUUGAUUGCAAGAAGAAGCGUGAUGAUGAAACAAUUUUUUCUUCUCACUUGGUUCAGCAUAAAUACGGUGUAAACAACAAUUAUAAAAGAAUAGAUUGAUGAUGUUAUGUUAAGACAGAUUUUUGGUUGAUCAGAUUCAGCCACUAUGAAAUGAGUGUUACAUGAACAAUCUUGAGAUUAACCAACGAGCCUAAGUUAGACAAAAUAAAGAACAGAAACGUCCUUCACAUUGACGCAUCCUAUUUAUGAACUAAAAGGGAACAAAUUAAGAAUGAGGCAGCAAGCAGCAUACCUCGUAACAUCUUCACCAACACAAUAUAAUUCCAAAAGCGGAAAGUAAACUCUUCUAGCCACAGACAGCGACCAGAAACUUCCUUUUACUUACUGGUUCCUCUUGCAACACAACAAUGUCUCUUACUUUGUCCAAAAGCUCCUCCAAAUCAUUCACGCCAAAGCUUUGAUAAUUGAUUGGUCUUUUGUAUUUCUGCUGGUAGAUCACCUCGAAACAACCAAGAGAAAUGCGACAAUAGUAGCUUACCAAAAUCUCUUGAAGCUCAUGUUUGAAGAGGUUGAGGCUCUCUAAAUUAUAUUUCUCUAUUUCUCUUUUGUCAUCAUGUUCCCCUAUAACCACCCUCUCAUCAUCUGAGGGUUCAUCAGAAGAUUCAGCACCUGCAACAACAUCAAUGGGAUCUUGAGCUUCUUUUCCUUUCUUAUCCCUCUUCGCCAAAAUUAAGGGAUGGGCACCAGAUAUGGCUUUAGAGUUAUGGAGGUAGACAAGCUUCCUUGAGCCUCUUAUUUCAAUAGCCAUUGCAUCACCCAUCUUCUCCAGAAGAUCUACAAGCUUAAGUGCUCCAUAUUCAGACACAUACAAAGGCCUCCCAUAGAUUUUCUGGUAUUCUGAAGAAAGACAGAUUAGAGGCAUACACCCACCUGAUAAUUCAAGCAACUUUACCAGUUGGCCCUUUAAACCAUUCAGAUCUCCAGGUUGUACCCACAUGAAGUCAUUCUGGUCACAUGAAGUAAGAGUUUUUGCUGAAACUUCAUUCAACCCAGAUGGGAGGCCGUGUGAUCUGGAAGACGAAGGAUAAUAGGGCAUGGAUAUUGAACUACUAUUAUAUUCAGUCGGAG
This 7774-nucleotide long non-coding RNA is filed under the name Olea europaea (common olive). RNAcentral describes it as "long non-coding RNA (OEUR_LNC001013)". The record is from RNAcentral. Lineage: Eukaryota; Viridiplantae; Streptophyta; Magnoliopsida; Lamiales; Oleaceae.